CAGCAGCCACGGUAAUACAGAGGGUGCAAGCGUUAAUCGGAAUUACUGGGCGUAAAGCGCGCGUAGGUGGUUUGUUAAGUUGGAUGUGAAAUCCCCGGGCUCAACCUGGGAACUGCAUCCAAAACUGGCAAGCUAGAGUAUGGUAGAGGGUGGUGGAAUUUCCUGUGUAGCGGUGAAAUGCGUAGAUAUAGGAAGGAACACCAGUGGCGAAGGCGACCACCUGGACUGAUACUGACACUGAGGUGCGAAAGCGUGGGGAGCAAACAGGAUUAGAUACCCCUGUAGUCCCUGUCUCUUAUAA
This 301-nucleotide ribosomal RNA is filed under the name uncultured bacterium. RNAcentral's name for it is "partial 16S ribosomal RNA". It matches the Rfam family "Bacterial small subunit ribosomal RNA", at positions 509 to 809 of the family's 1533-position model. The record is from RNAcentral.